CGGGACUGACGGGGCUCGAACCCGCAGCUCCGU
Molecule: transfer RNA, 33 nt
Filed under: Glycosmis trichanthera
Lineage: Eukaryota; Viridiplantae; Streptophyta; Magnoliopsida; Sapindales; Rutaceae
Description: partial tRNA-Asp
Source: RNAcentral